This 993-nucleotide long non-coding RNA is filed under the name Nicotiana benthamiana. RNAcentral's name for it is "long non-coding RNA (NBEN_LNC004719)". Lineage: Eukaryota; Viridiplantae; Streptophyta; Magnoliopsida; Solanales; Solanaceae. The record is from RNAcentral.
AGGAAUUGAACUAAUUAGCUAGAGCUAUAUAUUGGCCUUGAGCUUCAGAGGAAAGAUUAAUAAAGGUGAAAAAACAAUUUUAAAGGCAAAAAUAGCCAAGAGAGGGGUGACAACUUUCAUUUGCUUUUUGGACUUCCUUCUCUCUUUUUGUCUUCUUAUUAUAAUCCUACAACUUGUCUCCAUAUAAUUUCUAUCUUCUCCACCUUUCAUUCUUCUUCUUCUUCUUUGGAAUUUCUCUGAUCAAGAAGAUAGUAAAAGUAGAAAAUUAUAAAGAGAAGUUCUAAAGAAGAUUUUAUAUUAUAUGGCACCUGUUUCAUUGCCCCCAGGUUUCAGGUUUCAUCCAACAGAUGAAGAACUUGUUGCUUACUAUUUGAAAAGAAAGAUCAAUGGUAGGAAAAUUGAACUUGAGGUCAUUCCUGAAGUUGAUCUCUACAAAUGUGAGCCAUGGGAUUUACCAGGUAUAUAUAACUCCAUUUCUACUUUUUGUUUUGGCCUUCUUUAGAAGCAAAAAACAAAAAGAAAAAAAAAUGGUUAUAUAACUCCCUUUAAUUCCAUUUUUAAUUUGUUUUGAUGUUCUUUAAAUUAAAUCAAGUGUCAUAAAAGACGUGUGUCAAAGGAAAAUUACGAUGUGAAAGCAUAUUGUAUAUUUUCCUAAUUUGUAAUCGUGACGUGUCUCUGGGAUAAAUACAUAUAGAAAGAAAAAGAAACAUUACCUAGCAGCUAGUCCCUCCAAAGUGAUUGUCAAGAAAGGUAUAACAACUAAAGAUAUUGUAAUAAUUACUAUUUACUUUUUUCUUUGAUAUAUAUUGAAAGACUACUCAUGUGUAUUUUUAACAUGUAAUUAUUCUAUGUUUUAAAAACUUGAGAAAGGAAAUGAUCACAAGCUAAAUAUGCUAGAAAAGAAAGAUCAGAAAUUGAAGAAUUUAAAGGUAUUUUCUUGUAAAGGUACUCUUCAGUUAAGGUACUCACAUGAUAAUUACAAGCUUCAGUUAG